RNAcentral lists this transfer RNA (74 nucleotides) under Candidatus Woesearchaeota archaeon CG10_big_fil_rev_8_21_14_0_10_34_12. Its description in RNAcentral is "tRNA-Arg". It matches the Rfam family "tRNA". From Rfam's summary of the family: Transfer RNA (tRNA) molecules are approximately 80 nucleotides in length. Their secondary structure includes four short double-helical elements and three loops (D, anti-codon, and T loops). The record is from RNAcentral. Lineage: Archaea; Nanobdellati; Candidatus Woesearchaeota.
GGGCCCAUAGCUCAGCCUGGAUAGAGCAUUCGGCUUCGGACCGGAAGACAGGGGUUCAAAUCCUCUUGGGCCCG